UAUGGACGAGAGUCUGAACCAGCCAGUAGCGUGAAGGAUGACUGCCCUAUGCGUUGUAAACUUCUUUUAUACGGGAAUAAAGUGAGGCACGUGUGCCUUUUUGUAUGUACCGUAUGAAUAAGGAUCGGCUAACUCCGUGCCAGCAGCCGCGGUAAUACGGAGGAUCCGAGCGUUAUCCGGAUUUAUUGGGUUUAAAGGGAGCGUAGGCGGACGCUUAAGUCAGUUGUGAAAGUUUGCGGCUCAACCGUAAAAUUGCAGUUGAUACUGGGUGUCUUGAGUACAGUAGAGGCAGGCGGAAUUCGUGGUGUAGCGGUGAAAUGCUUAGAUAUCACGAAGAACUCCGAUUGCGAAGGCAGCCUGCUGGACUGUAACUGACGCUGAUGCUCGAAAGUGUGGGUAUCAAACAGGAUUAGAUACCCUGGUAGUCCAAGGGCGAAUUC
This 440-nucleotide ribosomal RNA is filed under the name uncultured bacterium. Its description in RNAcentral is "SSU rRNA". It matches the Rfam family "Bacterial small subunit ribosomal RNA", at positions 370 to 808 of the family's 1533-position model. The record is from RNAcentral.